CUUUUAAUCAUGUCAGUCUAAACUAAGAAAAAAAAACUGCUUUCUUGGUAGUUUAUGGAGGUUACACACUCUCUCUCCAAAAAUAAGGAAGUUACGAACGGUUUCAGGGUUGAUAUCUCCCACGUCCCCUCCCCACGUUUCUUGUAACUUCCAUAUACCCUUCCUUUUAAUAGGGAUCCCAGACCUGUGUUUUUGCCCCAUUCCCCUCCAUCCCUAUCUAUCAAAAUCCAUUAUGCUUUGAAAAGUAAAAGUGAAGCAUCAUUUCGUCGCAAGACCGAUUCCAAACAUCUCUGUCAUCGCAACAUCAAAGUUGUCGAUUUAGAGCACCGGUUCCUCGAAUCUCUCAAUUGCACUCCGAUAAUUGAAGCACCCAGUGUAAUCGCUCAUGAAAUCAAGGUAUGUUGUAUGUUAAUUGUUGUAAAGCAUUUGUGAAUUUGAUCUUCUUUGUGUGUGUUGUAGAAGUUUUGCUCUGCAUCUUCUUCACCUUCCACUAGGUUCACCUAGCUCCGUGAAAGGGCUUUUAAAAGAGCGAAAACUAUAAAUGCUUGUGGACCCUGAUCUAGAGACAAAUUACAUCGAUUCAGAAGUUGCGCAGCUGAUCCAGGUGGCAUUGCUGUGCACCCAAGGCUCACCAAUGGACCGACCCAAAAUGUCUGAUGUGGUCAGAAUGCUGGAAGUUGACGGGUUGGCCGAAAGAUGGGACGAGUGGUAGAAAGUGGAGGUUACUCGACAGGAAAUCGAUCUUGCACCACAUCCUAAUUCUGAUUGGAUUCUUGAUUCGACUGAGAAUUUGCAUGCUAUUGUGUAGUCGGGGCCGAGGUAACUUGAAAUGGGUUCAAAGUUUCGUCGUUUGGUAAUUUAUUUUGUUAUGAUUAAUUAAACUGCCUAUCGUUAAUCGAACAAUCAAUGCCAACACUUUGAGCAAAGUUAUUCCCAAAAGUGGAGGUUACUCGCCAGGAAAUUUAUUUUGUUUUGCAAAUUUGGGCAUAACUUUGCUGGAUAUGAAAGAUGACAUAGUGGAAUUCCUAUUGCAAUGACAACAUUUUCCUCUAUCACAGGGGCAAUUGGUUCUCAUUGUUUAUCUCAGCAGGUUGAUUGAAUAUUCUUUGUGAUUUUGUUGUUUCAUGAGCUUUUGUGCCACUUAUCUACAUCACUGCAUGAAACUAUCACAAAUAGAAUGACACCAAUAGAAGAAAUGGUAGGCAUGGAUGUUCUUUGCAGUGACAAAACUGGAACUUCGACACUGAACAAGCUUUUUGUUGACAAAGAUCUUAUAAAGGUUACUUAAUCAUUUGAACACUGGGCAUGAUAUGAUCAGACAUGAAGCGUGGUUAAGAUUGAAGAAAUUAUGAUUCUGUUGUACAUAGUGGAUAUGAUUUUGUUUUUUGCUGCGUGAUUUUUUGAGAUUGGAAGCUUGGUGUUGAACACGCAAUGAAGUAACAGAAGGGAAUUAUGUUCAGUUCUAGCAACCAUAGAGAUAAUGUUGUGGGCAAAAUGAUUUCAUCGUAUCUUUCCAACCAAUCGCAGUUUGAUGAUCACACAAUCCAUCUUCUUUUUAGUGCAAAUCGUUGGGAGAAAAGACAUGUUAUUUGCAGAUCAUUGAUUCUGUUGGGGUAUUUUGGGUAUACCAUGAGGUUGCUGUUAAGGUUAUCCCCAAAUCCAAGAAAAUACCCUCCAUCAACAGUUAAAUGUUUGUACAGAAAGAAAACUCACUUGAUGUACGAUUCGAUAACUAACUUAUCGAUCCCCGCGACAUCAAACUCAAAUGACUUUGGGAAGAAGAAGACUGAACGUCUUUAUCUUAUUUCUUGCUUAUUUUUCAGAUAUAAAGAAAUGUCUUAGUUUAUUCUUCUCCGAGAAUGUUUAUUAUUGUUUUCCCUUUUGUUGUUAUUCCUAUUUUGACCUAGAUGUGUGCAUCUUUGUGGGGUUUGGUUAACUUAUGAAUAGGACAGAACUGGGGUUAGGUGA
Molecule: long non-coding RNA, 1968 nt
Organism: Helianthus annuus (common sunflower)
Lineage: Eukaryota; Viridiplantae; Streptophyta; Magnoliopsida; Asterales; Asteraceae
Exons: 6
Source: RefSeq, a predicted model, not a curated record